This 492-nucleotide ribosomal RNA is filed under the name uncultured bacterium. RNAcentral describes it as "partial 16S ribosomal RNA". It matches the Rfam family "Bacterial small subunit ribosomal RNA", at positions 29 to 507 of the family's 1533-position model. The record is from RNAcentral.
AGUGAACGCUGGCGGUAGGCUUAACACAUGCAAGUCGAACGGCAGCACAGUAAGAGCUUGCUCUUACGGGUGGCGAGUGGCGGACGGGUGAGGAAUACAUCGGAAUCUACUCUUUCGUGGGGGAUAACGUCGGGAAACUUACGCUAAUACCGCAUACGAUCUACGGGUGAAAGCAGGGGAUCUUCGGACCUUGCGCGAUUGAAUGAGCCGAUGUCGGAUUAGUUAGUUGGCGGGGUAAAGGCCCACCAAGGCGACGAUCCGUAGCUGGUCUGAGAGGAUGAUCAGCCACACUGGGACUGAAACACGGUCCAGACUCCUACGGGAGGCAGCAGUGGGGAAUAUUGGACAAUGGGCGCAAGCCUGAUCCAGCCAUACCGCGUGGGUGAAGGAGGCCUUCGGGUUGUAAAGCCCUUUUGUUGGGAAAGAAAAGCAGCAGGUUAAGACCCCGCUGUUCUGACGGUACCCAAAGAAUAAGCACCGGCUAACUUCGUG